AGUGAACGCUGGCGGUAGGCCUAACACAUGCAAGUCGAACGGCAGCACAGUAAGAGCUUGCUCUUACGGGUGGCGAGUGGCGGACGGGUAAGGAAUACAUCGGAAUCUACUUUUUCGUGGGGGAUAACGUAGGGAAACUUACGCUAAUACCGCAUACGACCUACGGGUGAAAGCAGGGGAUCUUCGGACCUUGCGCGAUUGAAUGAGCCGAUGUCGGAUUAGCUAGUUGGCGGGGUAAAGGCCCACCAAGGCGACGAUCCGUAGCUGGUCUGAGAGGAUGAUCAGCCACACUGGAACUGAGACACGGUCCAGACUCCUACGGGAGGCAGCAGUGGGGAAUAUUGGACAAUGGGCGCAAGCCUGAUCCAGCCAUACCGCGUGGGUGAAGAAGGCCUUCGGGUUGUAAAGCCCUUUUGUUGGGAAAGAAAAGCAGCAGGUUAAUACCCUGCUGUUCUGACGGUACCCAAAGAAUAAGCACCGGCUAACUUCGUG
RNAcentral lists this ribosomal RNA (492 nucleotides) under uncultured bacterium. Its description in RNAcentral is "partial 16S ribosomal RNA". It matches the Rfam family "Bacterial small subunit ribosomal RNA", at positions 29 to 507 of the family's 1533-position model. The record is from RNAcentral.